ACUUAGCCUUGUCCCUACCUCUUUACUCCUCUGUAGGCAGUAAUUCUUUUUUCUUUUCUUUCUUUUUUUUUUCUUUUGGUGUAACAGUAUCGCAUGAGCCAAGACUGUCAUGAAACUAUUUGGAUACUGUACUCUGGUUCCUUCAUCUCCUCCAUCUGCAUCAGCCUAAAUUGUCCUAUUUUUAGGUUUUCUAGUUCUGUUGUGCCCUUUAUUCAAUGCAAGCCAUCAACAAGUUCCUUAAACAUAAAACUCUGUGACACUCUAAACUGCAAGACAAUGUGACAAUGAGUAUGCCAGUCUGAAAAGAACAAAGGAGCAGGGUUCAGAAGAACUGGCCUUUACCAGCUCUGUCAUUUUCCAGUGGUGUGGCCUUGCAGAGGUCACUUCAGUUUUCCAGGCUUUGGCCAAAGAAAGGUGGGGGCAGGUGGUACCUUCCCAGCUCAAGUCUUCUGGAAUAGAGCGUACGCCCAUGAAGCCCUGCACCUGUUGGAGCUUCAUAGCUGUAAUCAAGGAGCCUCUGCCAUGAACCCGGGGAUAAGUGAGGAAAGAAAUUUUUCCUCCUUCACAGUAUCAAGUGCCAGGCCAGGGCACUUUGUCCAGGCCUCACUGUGAAGAAAGAGUAAUGUUCAAGGAUGGCAGCAGGAAGGUGAGAGGAUGAAACCAAAUGCUCUUGGAGGGCAUCGGGCUUGGUUGCCACUGAGAACUUCCAGAAGAGGCACAGCUCAACGCGGGGUGCCAGUAACCGUCAUGCCUUCCUGUCCCAGUGGGCUGACUUGAGACAAAGCACAGCUGUGGUCCACGCCUUGAGACUUCCACUGGGCAAGGAAGCCCAAGACCCUAAUGAAGAGGUUUAUCUGAUUGGUUUACUGGAGUCCUAUGUGGGAUGAAUAGCUUCAGCCUUUGCGCUUGCACCUCUUUGCUGUCCACUCCAAUCAAGAACGGGGGCCCUCGCAACUCUCUCAGUUCUGAAACAAAUUAAAUCUCA
RNAcentral lists this long non-coding RNA (985 nucleotides) under Homo sapiens (human). RNAcentral describes it as "HSALNT0365641". Lineage: Eukaryota; Metazoa; Chordata; Mammalia; Primates; Hominidae. The record is from RNAcentral.